GGAGCCCAAGGGGGAAGCCCUGUGAUUGGAGGGGCCGCGGUGGUUCUCUGCCUCCUGCCGGGGGCCUGGAGCUUGUCCAGUGUUUCAGAGCUAAACCAGCACCAAUGAACUCAUGUUGGCCCUCCUAAAAUAACGCCUAGGCCCUUUGUACAGAAGGGGGAAACUGAGGCAUCAGAAGGGUUGGGUGAGUGCCUGCUCACAGAUUGGUAGCUAGGAAGAGGGUCAGUACAGUAAGAUGCCUGUUAGACCAGCGUUCUUCACACCGUGAAAUGCAACACACUCAUGAAUCCCAAAAUCAAUGUAGUGGGUCUCAACCAUCAAUUUAUUAAAUGAAAUGCAAUAGAAUAGAAUAGAAAAUAUCAAUGUAUAUAAAUAGUAGAAGUAAGUGUUUUGUGAAACUGUUUACAAAUUGCAGAUAAUAUGUACAACAAAUAAUGAUAUACAAUGUAUUUCUUUCUGCAGGUCAGGAUCAAAACAGUUUGGAAGCCACUGUGUUAAGACCCUGGUUAGUGUGUGAGAUCCAUAAUGGCAGGGACUGUUCCCUCCUUACCUGUAGCACCCACCAGAACUUCCCACACAGGUGACGGGGGAAGGAGGCUGGAGAGGCAGCCGAAAGAAGGGGCUGAGUGUACAGGAGCACAUUGGCCGAGAUGACUCAGCAUCAUCUCUGACUAGUUCGUUACUAUGGUGAGUCAUCCAAACGCUCCACACCUGUUUCCUCACCUGUAAUAUGAAGAUAAUAGCCCCACCCUCAGGGAUGUUACGCAGGACUAAAUAAGACAAUACAUGUCAAGCACAUAGCAUGGUGCCUGCCACAGGGUAAGUGCUCAGUAAGUGUUAGCAAUUAUUAGGGAUGCUCUAUAAAUCAUUCCUAGAUAAAUAAAUUAUGAAUAACAAGCUUGGGUUAAUCCCAUGAUGCCAGGCCACUGACCAGAGCCAGUCCUGUCACUUUAAGUUUCCUCCUCACCCUGGACAAAGGGCAAAUUUAGUACUCUUCCCAAAACCCUGGUGUGUAUCCCACUGUCCUCUGGUGCUCUGUGUGUGUUCAUACCUAGGUACUCAGUGGGGGACACAAUGUACUGGAAAGAACACUGGAAAUCAGGAAACAGGUUCAAUUCCAGGUCAGCCACCAAUUAGCCAUGUGACCUCUGAGAGUCAUUUCACUCCUUUGAGCCUCAGUUUCCUCACCUGUCCAAUAAAGGGGUUAGAUGACAUGGUGCUUUCAGUCCCUUCCUGCUCUGACAUUUGGCAAAUUUAUCCAGUGUUGUGUGGGCACAAGCCCAUGAGGCUCCGUGCCAGGCUGCAGGGACUGUCUGGAAAGCUGGAAAACCCCUCCCUGGAUGUAUUUCAUAAUAUCUAGGCUUUCAAGCCCUCAGGGCCCCACAUCCCUGCCCACUCCCUCUCACAACCACUUCCAGAAGUCAGCUGAAAAACCCAUACCAAUAUCCCGGAACAACUAGUGCCAACAUUUAUUGAGCUCUGACAGCAUGUCCGCAUUGUGACAAAACACUUUACAUGGAUCAUUGUAAUCCUCCUGACACGGCUCUAUAACAUUGGAACUACUACUGCUUUGUCAGUGAGGAACCUGAAGCUUGGAGGCCUCACAAAUAAGGAACCCAGUCUUAAAGCCUGAAUGAACUGUGACAAACAGCAUGAGGACCACUUGGCCCAGGCGGAAAGUAGAAAGCUUCUAGAAGCCAGCAGCCUCCUUCUUUGUCUCUCAGCUUCACAGCUGCCCACAAAGCCCCAAGGAGAAAGCCUUCCAAAAAAGGCAGUGACUUGGACAGAACAAGCCGCGGGACAGUGCGGAGAAGCUUAUCUUUUCCAGGACUGAGCCACGUGCUGAUGGAGAGAGGCAGGGGGUACUGUGAGACUGAUGAGAACAGCGAGCUGUCGUGCAUAUUGAAGCUGCAUCAGCAAAAGGAGAGGAAGUUUUAGAUGGGGCUUUCCUGACCCCCAUUUUCUAACAUGACAAUGCUUAUUUAGAAGAAGGUUUGAAGUGCUAAGCCUUGAUGACAGUCUUUAUGGUUUGUUAUGAAUUUCCUUAGAAAUAUAAACACUUAGGAAACAACUGUCUCCCUCCCUCCUUUUGUGGUCACUGACAUCAGAGGUCAAGAACAUAACAGGCCUGCUGCUCAGCCCUGAUCUCCUUGAGAACCUCAUGACCCGGCAGGUUACCACGGCAAUGCCCUCACACACUUGGGCAACAUGCCCUAUGCUAAUAGCCCAGGCUGAGAAGGUAGAAGGAAUAUCUCCAGGUUACUCAGAGAAAACUGGAAGCAGGGAGGAGGAAUAUUAAAGUUUCAGUUUCCGGUGAAACCGGAUGUUACACAGAAAGGGCAAAAAUAACCAAGACCCAGGGGAACAUUCUGAGCACAGAGGUGGGAGGUUCCAGCCCACGUGCUGUGUGAGCUGAAUUCUCUCCCUCUCCUGGGAGAGUGACACAUACUAUUAGUCCCAUCCUCCAUUAAUCCCAUUUUGGAAGUUGGGAAAGUACAGCAAGAAUAACUGUCAUUAUCUUACCUAACUCACACAGUUGGUCAGGGGAUAAAAUAAGACCAUGAACAUGAAAUGCUUUCAAAAUACAAAAAUCUCAAUAUAAGUCAAAUAUAUUCAAAUCUUUCUGAUAUGAUAUAAAUAAAUAAAUGCAAAUAGAAAGUAACUCUCUCCUUCUAUUACUGUUAUAACUACUACUAUUAUUUUAUACUCUUUCCUUAAAGGACAAGGGACAAUAUGCCCUGGUAUUUCAUUUUCCCAGAGAGCUAACAAAUGCCUCCAAUCCAAAUAAAUUAACAUUGUUCUUUUGAUUGGCAUCUGGUGAGAACAAGAAUUCACUUGGACAUACAGAGACAGAAGUAUGGAGGGGACAGAAAGGAGAGGAAAAGGAACAGAAAGAAGAGGAAAAGGAAAGCAUUUUAAUUUGUGGUUCUUAGUAUUCAUAUCCAUUGUUUACAGGGGGUGGAACACUUAAUAUUAUACUUUUUUUACAAUAAAUUGGAGCAAAACACU
This is a long non-coding RNA of Manis javanica (Malayan pangolin), 3009 nucleotides long. RefSeq lists it as uncharacterized. The record is from RefSeq and is a predicted model, not a curated record. Lineage: Eukaryota; Metazoa; Chordata; Mammalia; Pholidota; Manidae.